This 253-nucleotide ribosomal RNA is filed under the name uncultured bacterium. RNAcentral's name for it is "partial 16S ribosomal RNA". It matches the Rfam family "Bacterial small subunit ribosomal RNA", at positions 524 to 776 of the family's 1533-position model. The record is from RNAcentral.
UACGGGGGGGGCAAGCGUUGUUCGGAAUUACUGGGCGUAAAGGGCUCGUAGGCGGCCAACUAAGUCAGACGUGAAAUCCCUCGGCUUAACCGGGGAACUGCGUCUGAUACUGGAUGGCUUGAGUUCGGGAGAGGGAUGCGGAAUUCCAGGUGUAGCGGUGAAAUGCGUAGAUAUCUGGAGGAACACCGGUGGCGAAGGCGGCAUCCUGGACCGACACUGACGCUGAGAAGCGAAAGCAUGGGGAGCGAACAGG